This 73-nucleotide transfer RNA is filed under the name Camelus bactrianus (Bactrian camel). It matches the Rfam family "tRNA". From Rfam's summary of the family: Transfer RNA (tRNA) molecules are approximately 80 nucleotides in length. Their secondary structure includes four short double-helical elements and three loops (D, anti-codon, and T loops). Lineage: Eukaryota; Metazoa; Chordata; Mammalia; Artiodactyla; Camelidae. The record is from Rfam by way of RNAcentral. RNAcentral also lists the same sequence under 1 other name.
GAGGGUCUAGCUCAGUGGUAGAGCACAUGCUUAGCAUGCACGAGGUCCUGGGUUCAACUGCCCAGUACCUCCA